Molecule: ribosomal RNA, 253 nt
Filed under: uncultured bacterium
Lineage: Bacteria
Description: partial 16S ribosomal RNA
Rfam family: Bacterial small subunit ribosomal RNA
Source: RNAcentral
UACGUAGGGGGCAAGCGUUGUCCGGAUUUAUUGGGCGUAAAGCGCGCGUAGGUGGUUUCUUAAGUCUGAUGUGAAAGCCCACGGCUCAACCGUGGAGGGUCAUUGGAAACUGGGAGACUUGAGUGCAGAAGAGGAAAGUGGAAUUCCAAGUGUAGCGGUGAAAUGCGUAGAGAUUUGGAGGAACACCAGUGGCGAAGGCGACUUUCUGGUCUGUAACUGACGCUGAGGCGCGAAAGCAUGGGGAGCAAACAGG